This 642-nucleotide ribosomal RNA is filed under the name Triticum aestivum (bread wheat). Its description in RNAcentral is "partial small subunit ribosomal RNA". The record is from RNAcentral. Lineage: Eukaryota; Viridiplantae; Streptophyta; Magnoliopsida; Poales; Poaceae.
AUGCUAUGCCGGCCUAGAUGGGCAGGUGGACUUGGAGUGACUAACCUCAAGUGGAUGAAUAUUGCACUCCAAGCGAAGUGGAUGUGGCUUCAGGGUGCAGAUGCGACCAUGCCUUGGGGUGAGUUUAAGUUCAGCAUUCUGGAGGGGGCCAGAGCUCUGUUUCAAGCGGCGGCAAGAAUGCACCUUGGAGACGGUAGGACAACUCUAUUUUGGGAAGAUAGGUGGUGCAAUGGCUAUCGACUUCAGGAGUUGGCCCCAGGGAUAUAUUCCAAAGUAGCCAAGAGGGUGAGAAGCACAAGGACAGUGGAAGAUGCACUGCUACACGCAACAUGGGCAAGAGAUGGCAGACCGAACAUGAAUGAGGAUGAGCUAGACCAAUUCCUGCAACUCUGGUGCAGGUGGAAGGCACAAAUUUGGAUGCACAGCGGCCGGAUCAACUUUUGUGGUCGUGGAAGAAAGAUGGUCAGUUCUCGGUCCGAUCUUCAUUUGCGGCUAAGUUUGCCACACACCAUGUUUCUCCCACGGCUGGCUUCACUUGGGCAUCGAAGGCCCCCCUUGCGAUGUCGCUUCUUCGUCUGUCUUGCGCUUAUGGGCAGAGUGUGGACAUCGGACAGGCUCGCACAGCAAGGGCUUCCACACUAG